Apis cerana (Asiatic honeybee) is the source of this 6494-nucleotide long non-coding RNA. RefSeq lists it as uncharacterized. The record is from RefSeq and is a predicted model, not a curated record. Lineage: Eukaryota; Metazoa; Arthropoda; Insecta; Hymenoptera; Apidae.
CAUUGUCGCCAUUCCAAGUCCCGAGGGGAAGAGAGAACGAGAGUGCGACGCUGGCUAACCAGGAAAGUCGAGGAGGCUUCGACCUAGGAAUUUAUCACCGCUACCGACAGCCAUUAAUAUGGCAUUGUGCGGCCGCGGACACCGGCAGUGGCUCGUCCAUCUUUUCGUGACGCGUUAACGACUGACCUUAACGGCCAAGGACAGCUUCUCGAGCUACGUGGUACACGCAAUUGUCACCACCGACUCGCGAUCCAGAUUCUCCUUCUGAUCGUUCGUCUCUCUAUAAUAGAUACGCGAAGCUCGAUCGAGCAUCAAAUCAUAUCGAAUAUCUUUUUACACGGUCGAUUCGAACAAAUUUACAUUUAGAGAUUUAUAAAAAAUCGGGAGAACGACGUCAUUUAUUUUUGAUGUGUAAUGGGAUUCCGAUUGAAUGACAGAUUGCUGUAAUUGUUAAUCGCGAUUGUCGAAGAAAUCUUUAUUGGUGAAUGUAUUUAUAGCGUAUUCGUUAACGAAUCGAAGAUUCCAUACGGUUUCCUUGUGCGGAAUGCUUUAUUGUUCAGCCUGUAGGUCUUUGACAUCAUUACGAUUAAUUGAACGAGAAUGGUAGAAUCAGAAGAAUCUAAUAGAUGUAUAUAAUCUCUAUUUAAAAGUUAAAGGAUUAAAUAAAAUAGAUUAUUUUAGAAAAAAAAAGGGAAGAAGUUUAUGCGUAUUAUAUUUAUUUUCGUUGGAAGAAAGCGAUGGCACUUUCAGAUUUUUAUCAGUAUCAAUUUACAAGCAAUACAAAUGAGAUGCGCGGCAUGUCGAUCAUACCGUAAGAUGGGGGUGAAGUCUAUGCGAAAUCCGACAAUUACUAAUUUGCCGAUGCUAGUAUAAGAUAUCCCGAUAAAUCUCACAUUAUCCUUCGCCUAUUGCUUCGUGUGAGUGCCGUUUAAUGGAGAGAACGUUUACUUAUAUUCGUCUAAGUAUACAUAUGGUGUCCUCCAGAAAUCCAUCAUAAUCGUUACCGACUGACGAUAUUCAACUAUCUCUCACUCUUCCGCCAUUUCAUAAUUCGAUAUAAUCUAACACGCGAACAAUUUUUUCGCUUAUGCUUAAAAAAAGUUUCGCUUCCUUAUUUAAAAUGAGAAUUGAUUUAUUCGAAACGCGUUAUAUUUCAUCGAAUUCACCGUGUAUGCGUGUAUGUUGCACGCGCUUGUCAAGAUCUAUGCGGAAACGCUUAACUUAUGAACUCAUCCGGCGGAUUGCCGGCAAUAUACCACAGGACCACGUGCGGCACACUGAAUAGAAACGUCUUUGGACCGAACGAUGCGGAUUCCCGCCGUUGGAUCUCUUCGUUUCCUGGAUCAUUGCCAAGGUGAAAACAUCGGUACGUCACAGUCACCGCGCAUGCGAUGAUUAAUGAUCGUUCGACAGUGCGUGGAGCGGAUCGAUGCUUCACUCGCACGUUACGACCAACCUAACCUCUACGUCUCGAGUAAUCCACUGCUACCGAUCGGUACCGCAAACAAAACUGUACUGGGAAUUAUAGUUCGGUGACCUGCUUCCUUAUAUAUCGUCGAAUAUAUUAACAUGUACUAUUUACAGAGAAUCGAUAACACUUUGUGAAAGAAUUCUUGAAGGAUUCAAAGAGAAUUCGAAAUUGUUGGAAAGGCAAAAUUCUUGGAAAAACUGUUAUAUUAAAUAUUCACGCGCGUAACACGGAAGUGCAGAAUCACGAUUUAAUGAUUUAUUUUACACGGGAACGAACACCUUCGUGUCGCGAAUCUUACUUUUCGUUUGCUACCUUGGACAAUAAGAUGUGGCAAGCGGAACAACAUUUUUGAAUUGCCUCGUUACCGAAACCGUGAAUUACGAUUGCUCCUGCCCUCUCGCGUCGCGGAAGCUUAUUAACAUUUUUUGCUCGGAGCCUUGGCAAAUAAUAACGCUUCAAAAAGCGCCGCAUACGAAUUAAAGUCGUUCGAGUAGCCCCGUAUACACGCGCGUAUCCGUAUAAAUUGAAACAUAUAUACGAGUCUCUUUCAAAUCGAUUUUUUUAUAUUUAAAUGGGGAACUAAUAUUAAUUGUUUCUGCACGCAAAUAUAUGUUUCGUUUUAUUUAAUUCGUUUUAUAAAGCUAAUUUAAGUCAUUCGCAAUCUCGAAACAAUAAACGAGCGUUAGUCAGAGGUUAGAUUGCAACGAAAAGCGUUCGUAUUUACGUAUCUUUGUUUUUUCUUGAAUUUUUGAAUAUCAUAAAACAUACUUUUCGAUUCAUCGCAAAUAAAAUUGAACGUACGUAAGAACUCGAUAUUGCGGUUCCAGAAAAUUGUGUAACUACGCGUGUGUACGGAUGGGAUAAAACGAUACCGGAAGGAUGUUGCGUAAACGGAAGUGCGUGCGAGGCUUUUUGUUUCUUCCAGCCUUAUUGAGGGAUGCACCUGACAACAAGUUGUCGAUACAAUGGCCCGGCUGGAAGUAGAGUGAAUGGAUAAAGGAUACGAAAAAUUACAAGUCUCCAAGAUCCGGACUUGCGUCAUAUCGUAUCCUGACCGCGGAUAAACGUCGUAAGAACAAUGACCGCCUCGAGCAGUGAAAAGAAAAGCAAGAAAAGCAAACCGCUAAUCGACCAAAAGUCGUUGAUUCGACAACUUUAUCUACACCAUAUGCAUAAUAUUAAAAUUUAAUUUUAUUCCAAAGGUACAAAGAAACCUGAUUCGAUCCCUCUAUCUUCUGUUCCCGAUGAAAACCUGCAGGAUACAAAAAAAUCAGAAGAAAAAAAGCAGAAGAAGGCUCAUUCAUUUCGUAAUCGCGAAAUCGACAGAAGCGGCAAUCCAAAAGAAAUCUCGAUCCAAAGAUGUUCACCCGACACAAUCGCAUAACCAUCGAACCACGUGGAACCCCCGCCUGAGUGGCAAGCGUGCACGUCACGAGGCACGCAAUCUCCGGGUCGUCCAUACGCACGAAAAUUAUAACAGACCCCCAAGAUACACUUUCUCUUCUUCUUUCCAUUCCAGCUUCCUCUCUUUCUCUCUCUGCCCCUGCCUCUCUCUGUCGACGAGGAUACCGGUAAAGAACGGGAGCAAACGCAACGUGAGAAGAAAGAGAUAAGAGGACGAGUGUUUAAAGGAGGAUUGCUUCCGCAAAAAUCGAGAAUCUCGAGGUGCAUUCGUUCGGAACUCGUUACACGUUCCGUAUGGCGGGUCCGGUGUGUCGCAGCAUCGGACUCGAAACUACAGGGUACGGAAACGAAGAGAAGAAAGAACACGUGAUUACACACAGGGGACCGAUCGUGCCGCGUGAACGUUUCUUCUUCUCCGAUCUUAGUCGGAAAUUUGUAUGGGCCUAAAUUUAGAGAAAGGGAAAACGAGGAGAGGGGAGGAGAGACUUAACUCCGUGGGAAAAUGGGAGAAAGGAAGGCGCGUCUCGCCAUCCAUCGCGACACCGAACUCCUUCCGAAGGUGGUGCGAUCGGGAAGAGAUCGGCGCGGCACAUCUGGCGCGCCACAUCCUGGCGGAAAGCACGAGUCAUCGGCGUGGCCUACAAUCGAAAAUAAUCGAAGACACUCACCGUGUCGUGGGAGAUUAAAGGAAAGGGGAGUAUCUUCCGUUCCGAUGAAGACGUUCCACGCGAUACUUUGUGUUGGGAAGUCGAUCAGUGGGUCUUCCCCGGUGGAUGGGUUUGCUUGCCCCAUUGUCGCAACAUCAAAGACUUAGCCCACGAAGAUUUAGCAUUGUCUAACCGGUAACUGGCCUUUAAAAGCCAGUUUAAAACGUUUAAAACGUGGCCACCCAGGUGGAGAAACGAAAACGAGGUAAACGUCGAGCAGCGAAUCGAUGAGAAAUAGAAUUUUAAAGGGGUGGGGGGAGAUUCACAUCAUUUUCACGCCGCUCCAAAUCCUUUUCAUUCUUUCAAAACAUCACGAUACGCUACGCUGUAUUUUCUUUUUCAGGGACUCGAGAGAAAGAGGAGGAAAGGUGAGGAGGAAAUUCAAAUUUUCGUUGGAGAAGAAAAAAGAAGAUAUCCGGAUUAUUUUAAAAUUUAUUUUCAAAGCAGAGCGUUGCUCAACGGGGUGUACACUUAUAUGGGGAAAAUGGAAGAGAAAUCUAUACACCGACCACCCAUCGUGACCGUGGUGGAAAGGUGAAUUAAAGUCACAAUGCGGCUACAGCUAUCUGGGAAUUUAGAAAUAAUGGAGUAGGGCAGAACACCGAUUCCAUCGAGCGACCAGGUAUCGACUUACGACCUCACGAGGAAGCUCCUUUCAUUAAAGAAAUUAUUUUUGACCCGUGCUACGCUUUACAAAAAAAAAAAAACACCGCACACGUGCAGAGCACACCUUUAUUUAUCGCGUCUUGAUUCGUGUCUCUCUACAAAUUGAAAUUAAUCAUCCCUUUGUUAGAAUGACAUGCAUACAUUCUUUUUACGAAGUCGAGAUGGAAGAUUUUGUGGGAAGGUGUGUAACGUCUCUAUUAUCAAAAUGAUCGAUAAAAAAAGGAAGGAAGGAAGGAAGGGGUGUGGGAACACGAUGGAGCUUUUGGAGUAUUGGACGAAAUAGGGACGGGGAGGAAGCGUGGGAGGAGCUGGAUCGACGCAAAAGCAUGGAAACCGAACUUAAAAAAAGAAGAGGCAAAGGGUGAUCGUGUGAACAGGUCCAGACUAGGUGGUCCCUCCUAGCCGAGUGGAUUUUCCCCUCAAUCGGAGAAAAAAGCACCGGUAGCUUAUCCCUACGGUCUACGGAUAAUCGCGGCUGGAAUCACACUAAUUUCAACCUGGGAGGUAUAUCUUUUUCUCCCUCCGCUGGAAGCAGGAAGUUGCACGUGUCGAAUCGCCGACAAUCGCGCACAGAUAUUAGUCCUUAGGUUUGCGUGGCUACCGAAAUGACAUCGCCUCUCCUUUCACAGGAAGAAAAGUGGAAAGAUGCGCAAACGAGGCUGCUUUCCAACCAGUCACCAUCCCCAAUCAGGAUCACGGACAUCCACUGUUGUUGUUAAUCCGACUUCGUCACUUCGAGAACAUUUUCACACUUUCUUCUCUACGAGAGUUCGAGCGACGAGAGUGUAGGAAGAUGGAAAGGUGAAGUACCGUUGCCGAGUUUAUUAUCACGGAUCUUUGGAUACGACUUACGUCCUGUCGUUGUCAAUGCAUCUCCAUAAAUCACGUGGCGUGGUGAAGAUCAAGGACGUGCUGAAACCACCUCGAGCGAUCGAUCAGUUGGCAAGAUGGCGGGAGAAUAAGGAGAAGGAGAAAGAGAGAGAGAGAGAGAGAGAGAGAGAGAGAGAGAAAGAGAGAGAGAGAAUUUAAUAAGUUGUAAAUUAAAAGUUCUCUUAACUGUCAUUUCCUUAUAGCCAAUCGAUGCUUGGUCACCGAUGCAUCCUGUCGUCGAGCAUUACAGCGCUUGUUCUGUACUGGCGAUACGGACAGUAACUGACUUUUUCCGUUUUUUAUCCGGAUAAAGUAUCUCUCCUUUUCUCUCGCUCAUAUUCCUCCUCCUUCGCUGCGUCACUUUUUCCAUACGCGUAAAUUUAGCCUCGUUAACCGUUACAAUAAUUUGUCGCAAUUUCCAUUAAAUUUAUACUAUACGAUCCUUCACAAAACUCGUUGUAUUUAUCUAUAUGCAUUUUUCUAGCCCACGUUUCUAUGGUUACGGAUUACGAUGGUAAGAGACGAUCGAUCGAGGAUGGACAAUUUUUAUCGUGGACAAAUUACUCUAGUCGUCAUUCGAGCGAAGAGUAUGAAUCUCAAUGAUAGAAGGAGUAAAUACAAUGAUAGCGUACAAAUAACGAACAGAGAGAGAAAGAGAGAGCGGCAAGGACUGUGUAAAAAUUGAGAUAUACGACGCCGUUACUAGGAUUGGAACUAAUUACCACCCAGAAGCGACGUCUAUACCUCUGGUAAUGGCGAACAAGAAGACUGACCCUCCUCGCGACUGUACAACCCGACCUCUGCAUCGACCUCGCCGAUUUAUAUCCUCGUAACAAGGUAAAAAAAGCUUGGAGGACAAAAGGGAGGAGGAAAGGGAGAGAGGAGACGUAUAAAGAGUAAGAUUCGUUUUGCAUGCGUAACAUGCGUUUUUCGUAGCUACCAUCGUUGCCUCGUCUUUAUUUAAUCGAUGUUAAGGGAAUGAAAAGAAACGACAAGUUUCUUGAUCAUUGAUUUAUUCUUUUCUUGUUCGUCAGGUUAGUUUUCUGAUAUUCAAAGGAUAUUCAGAAGUUAUAAAUGUCUUUAUAAUAAUAAAGUGAUUGGAUAUACAAGAUGAUAUAUUUGUGACAUAUUUUUGAAAAAGUGAAAAAAUUAUUUGUAUGGAAAUUUAUAAAGCGAGAUAGGAAUAGAGCGAUCUCACUUUUUUUCAAUUGUUUGUAACUUAUAAUAAAUAAACCUCAACCGAUAUUUUUAUACGAUUCUUGCUCUCAAGAAUCGAUCCUUCAAAUGUGUACGAAUGUAAUAACAUUCUGUAUAUUUCAUAUUGUAAUUAAAUAAAUAAUUUUCAAUCGAUAUUUUUUAAUAUCUCUAUGUAAUAA